Molecule: ribosomal RNA, 498 nt
Filed under: uncultured bacterium
Lineage: Bacteria
Description: partial 16S ribosomal RNA
Rfam family: Bacterial small subunit ribosomal RNA
Source: RNAcentral
GACGAACGCUGGCGGCGUGCCUAAUACAUGCAAGUCGAACGAGAGCGACCGGUGCUUGCACUGGUCAAUCUAGUGGCGAACGGGUGAGUAACACGUGGGUAACCUGCUCAUCAGAGGGGGAUAACAUCCGGAAACGGAUGCUAAAACCGCAUAGGUCUUCGAGCCGCAUGGCUUGAAGAGGAAAAGAGGCGCAAGCUUCCGCUGAUGGAUGGACCCGCGGUGCAUUAGCUAGUUGGUGAGGUAACGGCUCACCAAGGCCGUGAUGCAUAGCCGACCUGAGAGGGUGAUCGGCCACAUUGGGACUGAGACACGGCCCAAGCUCCUACGGGAGGCAGCAGUAGGGAAUCUUCCGCAAUGGACGCAAGUCUGACGGAGCAACGCCGCGUGAGUGAAGAAGGUUUUCGGAUCGUAAAACUCUGUUGUUAGAGAAGAACAAGUGCUAGAGUAACUGUUAGCGCCUUGACGGUAUCUAACCAGAAAGCCACGGCUAACUACGUG